AAACUACUCCCUCUGUCCGGAAAUACUUGUCAUCAAAAUGAAUAAAAGGGGAUGUAUCUAGAUAUGUUUUAGUUCUAUAUAUAUUCUUUUUUAUCCAUUUUGAUGUCAAGUACAUCUUUUUUUGUCCAUUUUGAUGACAAGUAUUUUCGGAUGGAGGGAGUACUAC
This is a non-coding RNA of Triticum aestivum (bread wheat), 166 nucleotides long. Lineage: Eukaryota; Viridiplantae; Streptophyta; Magnoliopsida; Poales; Poaceae. The record is from Rfam.